Molecule: long non-coding RNA, 650 nt
Organism: Silurus meridionalis
Lineage: Eukaryota; Metazoa; Chordata; Actinopteri; Siluriformes; Siluridae
Exons: 4
Source: RefSeq, a predicted model, not a curated record
GGUGCGGCCCCAUUUUUGACUGCAUGUGAAUACAGUUUGAAGCUUCACAGUGUGCUUACACAGUGGCACCAUCAUCUGUCCACAAAAGGAAUUACAGGGGAAACAACGCAGGCUUGUUAGGAAGUCGGGGUCAGAGCACAGGGUCAGCCAUUAUAUGGUGCCCCAGGAGCUUGCUCAAGGGCUCAACAGUGGCAGUUUAGCAUUGCUAGGGCUUGAACUCCUGCCUUCUGCUUAGUAAUCAAGAGCCUUAACCCUCCAGACACCAGGAGUUGCAUCAGCUGAACAACAGUCUGAUGCUCAUUACAACUGUGUUUGUCCAAAACAAUGGCUCAAAGUAAUGAAAAAGACUGCUGGGAGCCUGAGCUGAUUGGAAGAGAGAAAAUCAAUUUCUGAUGACAAUCCCGCACGCCGAAAUGAAAGGCUCAGAGUUCCAGAGUCUUGGGAAAGUUGCCUCUGGAGACGGACACUAAUCUCGACAGAAUGAAUCAUUCACACUCUUAUUUGGACAUCUGUGUUAACUUUUUCUCCCCCUCCUCCUUCUCCUUCCCCUGCCAAAGUUUCCCUCAUCCAUGAUGGUUUUAUUAGAAGUUGUCACAGGUGGCUGAAAGUUCAGCAGUUCAGUUGGACUGAAGGUUUCCUCAUAAAGAAAA